GGGCCGUUAGCUCAGCGGUAGAGCACUACAUUUGCAAUGUAGGGGUCGUGGGUUCAAAUCCCUCACGGUCCACCA
This 75-nucleotide transfer RNA is filed under the name Candidatus Woesebacteria bacterium RIFCSPHIGHO2_12_FULL_44_11. Its description in RNAcentral is "tRNA-Ala". It matches the Rfam family "tRNA". From Rfam's summary of the family: Transfer RNA (tRNA) molecules are approximately 80 nucleotides in length. Their secondary structure includes four short double-helical elements and three loops (D, anti-codon, and T loops). Further hydrogen bonds mediate the characteristic L-shaped molecular structure. tRNAs have two regions of fundamental functional importance: the anti-codon, which is responsible for specific mRNA codon recognition, and the 3' end, to which the tRNAs corresponding amino acid is attached (by aminoacyl-tRNA synthetases). tRNAs cope with the degeneracy of the genetic code in two manners: having more than one tRNA (with a specific anti-codon) for a particular amino acid; and 'wobble' base-pairing, i.e. permitting non-standard base-pairing at the 3rd anti-codon position. Lineage: Bacteria; Candidatus Woeseibacteriota. RNAcentral also lists the same sequence under 1 other name. The record is from RNAcentral.